Molecule: ribosomal RNA, 547 nt
Filed under: uncultured bacterium
Lineage: Bacteria
Description: bacterial SSU rRNA
Rfam family: Bacterial small subunit ribosomal RNA
Source: RNAcentral
UGGGGAAUAUUGCGCAAUGGGGGGAACCCUGACGCAGCCAUGCCGCGUGAAUGAAGAAGGCCUUAGGGUUGUAAAGUUCUUUCGGUAUUGAGGAAGGUUGAUGUGUUAAUAGCACAUCAAAUUGACGUUAAAUACAGAAGAAGCACCGGCUAAUUCCGUGCCAGCAGCCGCGGUAAUACGGAGGGUGCGAGCGUUAAUCGGAAUAACUGGGCGUAAAGGGCACGCAGGCGGUUAUUUAAGUGAGGUGUGAAAGCCCUGGGCUUAACCUAGGAAUUGCAUUUCAGACUGGGUAACUAGAGUACUUUAGGGAGGGGUAGAAUUCCACGUGUAGCGGUGAAAUGCGUAGAGAUGUGGAGGAAUACCGAAGGCGAAGGCAGCCCCUUGGGAAUGUACUGACGCUCAUGUGCGAAAGCGUGGGGAGCAAACAGGAUUAGAUACCCUGGUAGUCCACGCUGUAAACGCUGUCGAUUUGGGGGUUGGGGUUUAACUCUGGCGCCCGUAGCUAACGUGAUAAAUCGACCGCCUGGGGAGUACGGCCGCAAGGUUA